UCGAUUUUCAUCGAUGAUCGAUCAAACCCACAACGUCACCCAAUGACACUUCACUUACUCAGAAUUCGUGACAACAUAAAAAUUCAUAAUUUUUGACCAAUUCAUCAGUGAAAUAAUUAAAAUUAUUUAUUUACCCCACAUCUGGUGCACAUAUUUCACCGUCAACGUCACCGGAAGAUGUGACAGGAGAAUGGAAAAUAUUUAAUUACUUCCUGCAACAGGGAUUCAACUGUUACCGAGAAUAAAACAUAAAUGUCCAGGAUAUUCUGAUGUGGUGCCCUUUGAUCCUCGAGACAACUGUCAUUCCAGGGAUUAUUGGAGACCUCUGAUUGCCGGGAGAAGGGGAGACAGGUUGUACAUCAUAUAGUGGACCAUUGGCGAGAGCACGCGCCGUUCGUUACAGCAGAAUGGAAUAUAUCAAAUCCCCAGGACUACCUAGAUUUCAUGAAAAACGAGGGUGUCUAUGCAAGUGAACUAGAGUGCACUGUU
Molecule: long non-coding RNA, 489 nt
Organism: Diachasmimorpha longicaudata
Lineage: Eukaryota; Metazoa; Arthropoda; Insecta; Hymenoptera; Braconidae
Exons: 3
Source: RefSeq, a predicted model, not a curated record